RNAcentral lists this ribosomal RNA (480 nucleotides) under uncultured bacterium. RNAcentral's name for it is "bacterial SSU rRNA". It matches the Rfam family "Bacterial small subunit ribosomal RNA", at positions 419 to 895 of the family's 1533-position model. The record is from RNAcentral.
CGUUAUGUAAACUUCUGUCAUAGAGGAAGAACGGUGCGUGUAGGGAAUGACAUGCAAGUGACGGUACUCUAUAAGAAAGCCACGGCUAACUACGUGCCAGCAGCCGCGGUAAUACGUAGGUGGCGAGCGUUAUCCGGAAUUAUUGGGCGUAAAGAGGGAGCAGGCGGCACUAAGGGUCUGUGGUGAAAGAUCGAAGCUUAACUUCGGUAAGCCAUGGAAACCGUAGAGCUAGAGUGUGUGAGAGGAUCGUGGAAUUCCAUGUGUAGCGGUGAAAUGCGUAGAUAUAUGGAGGAACACCAGUGGCGAAGGCGACGAUCUGGCGCAUAACUGACGCUCAGUCCCGAAAGCGUGGGGAGCAAAUAGGAUUAGAUACCCUAGUAGUCCACGCCGUAAACGAUGAGUACUAAGUGUUGGGAGUCAAAUCUCAGUGCUGCAGUUAACGCAAUAAGUACUCCGCCUGAGUAGUACGUUCGCAAGAAU